CAGAGGGGGGUGGAAUUCCACGUGUAGCAGUGAAAUGCGUAGAUAUGCGGAGGAACACCGAUGGCGAAGGCAGCCCCCUGGGCCAAUACUGACGCUCAUGCACGAAAGCGUGGGGAGCAAACAGGAUUAGAUACCCUGGUAGUCCACGCCCUAAACGAUGUCAACUAGGUGUUGGG
This 176-nucleotide ribosomal RNA is filed under the name uncultured Rhodocyclaceae bacterium. RNAcentral's name for it is "partial 16S ribosomal RNA". It matches the Rfam family "Bacterial small subunit ribosomal RNA", at positions 652 to 827 of the family's 1533-position model. Lineage: Bacteria; Pseudomonadati; Pseudomonadota; Betaproteobacteria; Rhodocyclales; Rhodocyclaceae. The record is from RNAcentral.